RNAcentral lists this ribosomal RNA (467 nucleotides) under uncultured bacterium. RNAcentral describes it as "partial 16S ribosomal RNA". It matches the Rfam family "Bacterial small subunit ribosomal RNA", at positions 28 to 507 of the family's 1533-position model. The record is from RNAcentral.
GACGAACGCUGGCGGCGUGCUUAACACAUGCAAGUCGAACGAUGACGACCGAGCUUGCUCGGUCUGAUUAGUGGCGAACGGGUGAGUAACACGUGAGCAACCUGCCCUUCACUCUGGGAUAACCUCGGGAAAUCGGGGCUAAUACUGGAUAUGAGCUCCUGUCGCAUGGCGGGUGUUGGAAAGUUUUUCGGUGAAGGAUGGGCUCGCGGCCUAUCAGUUUGUUGGUGAGGUAGUGGCUCACCAAGGCGAUGACGGGUAGCCGGCCUGAGAGGGCGACCGGCCACACUGGGACUGAGACACGGCCCAGACUCCUACGGGAGGCAGCAGUGGGGAAUAUUGCACAAUGGGCGAAAGCCUGAUGCAGCGACGCCGCGUGAGGGAUGACGGCCUUCGGGUUGUAAACCUCUUUCAGCAGGGAAGAAGCGAAAGUGACGGUACCUGCAGAAGAAGCGCCGGCUAACUACGUG